Long non-coding RNA from Carassius gibelio (silver crucian carp), 1056 nucleotides. RefSeq lists it as uncharacterized. Lineage: Eukaryota; Metazoa; Chordata; Actinopteri; Cypriniformes; Cyprinidae. The record is from RefSeq and is a predicted model, not a curated record. The transcript has 3 exons.
GAUCCUGACACAAAAUGACCAGUUUACAUUAAUUAGCUAAUCAUAUCAGCAGCACAUGUGAAAGAGUGAAAAAGUACUAGUCAGGUGAAAUCACGACCAUAGCCUACUUAUUAGGUUGUAAGAGUAGACUAAUUGCUAUAAAAGGAGGAAAGAAGCGAUUCCAAUCAUUGGCUGCACCCGAAAACAGGCAGCUGACUUGCGAAGGCACCCCCGGAAACAGUUUUGGAAAAGCUUCUGAGGCAGCCUAACAUACGUCAUUGCUAGGUUACAAGCUGCUCGGUACCGCCACCUGGUGCAUUCAGUCAGCGAUUUCAUUUAAUAAUAAUAAUCAAAUACGGCAUGUAGUAACUCUUAUGAUGAUUUUUGAAGAACUCGACGAACUCGCUCGCCAAAGGUCUGUGCACCGGAGGAAAAGACUGAGAAUGGCAGCUACUUUUUACUUAAAUGGAAGCACAGGGAGCUCACCAGUUUAUUCCACUCCUACACAUCUUUUUUGAAGGGGUGACACUCGGCCGGAUUUCCGGCUGAGUCGUGCGUCCAUUAGCCUUACAGCCCUUCUCCAGCUCCUGGACCAGAGGCGGGUUCAUGAGUGGGGUCCUACCAUUGAACUACUGGUCUUCAUUUUCUGGCUGGGCAGUGGAAGCUCCUACUGUGUGGUGUCCAGGGCUGACAUGUCCACAUCCACUGUUCACCAACUCAUCUAUCAAGUACUGGGGGCAAUGACAUGUUUGACACCACAUGUGAUAAGUGUCCCAAACACCUUGGAUGCUACAGAAACCGUAAACUGUUUCCCUCAAUCCAGCUGCAUGCUGUGACCACAACGCCAGGUUUAUUGAUUAUUGUCUUGGUUGGCUUUCCUGGCUCUGUGCACGACUCCAGAGUCAAGCAGCCUGUAAGAGGGUGGCACAACAGAGGUUUAAUGCACAUCAUGCCAAAGCCCGCUCAGCAUUUGGUACCAUGAAGGCCAGGUGGAGGGCUAUCUUCUUCCACACCCUGGAGGUUGACACAUCAUUCAUCCCAGCCUGCAUUCACUGGCCAUAAAAACAGUGCUGUGAA